UACGGAGGGAGCUAGCGUUGUUCGGAAUUACUGGGCGUAAAGCGCACGUAGGCGGCUUUGUAAGUUAGAGGUGAAAGCCCGGGGCUCAACCCCGGAAUUGCCUUUAAGACUGCAUCGCUUGAAUCCGGGAGAGGUGAGUGGAAUUCCGAGUGUAGAGGUGAAAUUCGUAGAUAUUCGGAAGAACACCAGUGGCGAAGGCGGCUCACUGGACCGGUAUUGACGCCUGAGGUGCGAAAGCGUGGGGAGCAAACAGG
This 254-nucleotide ribosomal RNA is filed under the name uncultured bacterium. RNAcentral describes it as "partial 16S ribosomal RNA". It matches the Rfam family "Bacterial small subunit ribosomal RNA", at positions 524 to 776 of the family's 1533-position model. The record is from RNAcentral.